UUAACUCAAAUUUGUAUGUAGUUGGAACGUUUGCCUAGGUUUGCCACUAAGGGCGCUGUUCCAACUCUAAGCAAAUUCGAAUUA
Molecule: non-coding RNA, 84 nt
Organism: Bombyx mori (domestic silkworm)
Lineage: Eukaryota; Metazoa; Arthropoda; Insecta; Lepidoptera; Bombycidae
Source: Rfam